Molecule: ribosomal RNA, 635 nt
Filed under: uncultured bacterium
Lineage: Bacteria
Description: bacterial SSU rRNA
Rfam family: Bacterial small subunit ribosomal RNA
Source: RNAcentral
CCUACGGGAGGCAGCAGUGGGGAAUCUUGCGCAAUGGGCGAAAGCCUGACGCAGCAACGCCGCGUGGGUGAUGAAGGUCUUCGGAUUGUAAAACCCUGUCGUUAGGGACGAAGACAUGAAUCCUAAUACGAUUCAUGUUUGACGGUACCUAGAAAGGAAGCCCCGGCUAACUCUGUGCCAGCAGCCGCGGUAAUACAGAGGGGGCGAAGCGUUAUUCGGAAUUAUUGGGCGUAAAGGGUGCGUAGGCGGUUUUCUAAGUCAGAUGUGUAAUCCCCGAGCUCAACUUGGGAACUGCAUCUGAAACUGGGAGACUAGAGUACUGGAGAGGAUGGUGGAAUUCCACGUGUAGCGGUAAAAUGCGUAGAGAUGUGGAGGAACACCAGUGGCGAAGGCGGCCAUCUGGACAGUAACUGACGCUGAAGCACGAAAGUGUGGGUAGCAAACAGGAUUAGAUACCCUGGUAGUCCACACCGUAAACGAUGAACACUUGGUGUAGUGGGAGUUGACCCCCACUGUGCCGUAGCUAACGCGAUAAGUGUUCCGCCUGGGGAGUACGGUCGCAAGGCGNGAACGACAAUAGUAAGUUAGUAGGCGUGAGACGUUAGCCGACGGACGACGACGAGGGAGGGAGGGNG